Long non-coding RNA from Eucalyptus grandis, 654 nucleotides. RefSeq lists it as uncharacterized. NCBI's taxonomy places the organism in Eukaryota, Viridiplantae, Streptophyta, Magnoliopsida, Myrtales, Myrtaceae. The transcript has 3 exons. The record is from RefSeq and is a predicted model, not a curated record.
CGCGUGUCACCCCAGGCCCCCUAUAAGUAGGAGCCUCGAUCCCGCAUCCCUUGAUCACUUUCGCUUACCAAUAUCCCUUGAAUCUCUCUCUCUCCCUCUUCCGUGUUUGUUCUGCAUUUUCUCAAGCUCGUUCGAAAAGGGCUUCUUGCAGAGAGCAAAUUCACUCCUUCGCUUCGGUAAAGAGAGAGCUAGCAGAAGAGAAAAAGAAGAGGGGAAAAUGGCGGACGAGAGCACGAUGAACUGCGUCGACAUCCUCCUAGCCAUCAUCUUGCCUCCUCUCGGGGUCUUCCUCAAGUUUGGUUGCCAGGUGGAGUUCUGGAUCUGUGUGUUGCUCACUAUCUUAGGCUGGAUUCCCGGUAUCAUUUAUGCCAUCUAUGCCAUUACCAAGUAACUGAACUUGAUUGGGUGGCGAUGCGUGAUGGGCCGAUGCGCCUCCAUCCAACGGUCGCGGAUUUCGUGGGAUGUCGUCUUCUUCGAAUGUGUCCUUUCUUCUCUUUGGUUUUUUCCUGUAAUUGUCAUUAGUUGUCCGUAGUGUGAUUAUUUGUUGUAUUGUUGGAUUCAUUUCUUAUUUAUCAUGUCUCUCUCCCGAUACGUCGGCAGAUUUUCUGAUUGCUAUUUUAUCUCAUUUCUUUAAUUGACCCCACUUGAGGUUUA